GCCGCAAAGGUAACUCGGAAAUGUCAUGUUCCUCGCUACUACCACGAUCCAGCUAUUCAGGGGAUAUCUAUGAGUACCCUAGCCCAAACACCACGUUUACGCUAGCAAUGAUUACUCUAAACUCAAUCGGAAGAGAUUAAAGUAAACUCAUAAACCAAAGAACAAUAAAACAAGAACUUACUAGAAUUUCGAAGUCAAAAUACUGAAGAAUCCUAGGAGCAAGCCUCGGGUUAGGAGAGCUUGAUCCCGUGGGUACAACCUCGGAGUAGACACCGACAGGCCGAGCUUCCUCCGAUCUACACCUCCACUCUAUCUCUCUCAAUCUAGUAGAUCUAGUCUACUCUCACAUUGGAUGCUAAGCCCUAUGUCUAAUUAUAGGAGAGGUUAUCCUUCGAGGGCACCUCUCAACUCUAUGAUGAACUUGUUCUCCUCUAGGAGCCAGGGGGUCUGCUUAUAUAGUCCCCUCAAGUGAAUCUAGGCCGUCGGAUCAAACCGACAUUGAUUGAACGGUUGUCCUUGAUCCUUUAGGUCGGUGGAGCGUAAUCUGCGAGACGGGUCCUAAUUGGACUCUGCACCAGGGCGGGCACCCUAGGGGGAGGGCGGGCGCCCUGCCCCCGGGCCCGAUCAAUUUCUCGUUCGUUCCCGUGGCUUCUGGAGUCUUCUAGAUGAUAGAAAAUUACGCGGCACAUUAAUAUCUCUAUGUAAACCCAACAUGUGGGCCUUUCUUCCGUAUUUCCUGAUAAUGCCCUGCAGAAAUAGACAAACACCAAAACUCAUGGAAUUCUAUCAGAUAAACCCCUAAGUCUAGGUGUUGGUUGCAUUUGGAUCCUUUUCAUUAUUUAUUUAAUGAUUAUAUUUGGUACUUAAGGACCGUCAACACACAUAACCUUUAUCUAAAAGUGCUUGUACUUGCCUUUGAAUCUCCUUGGUUUGGAAGUGUAGCUCCAGGAAUGAGAUCAAUUUGAUGUUCAAUGCCACGCAAGGGAGGAAGACCAGCAUGUGUUUCCUCUAGAAAGACAUUUUCAUAUUCCUGCAAAAUAUGUGCAACAAUACUAGGGAUAGAUGUUAAGUCGUUAGCUGAAAUCAACGUGUCUUUGCACACAAGUAUGAUCAAUACAUGUUCUGGGUUUCUCCUCACUUCUCUCAUUUCAGAUUUGGUGGUUAUCAUCACUAAGUUCUCUCCCUCUCUUUUAUUCUUUUCUCUCAUAUUUGGCUUGUGGCUCUCACACUCCGAUUUGUGGAUGGCACUCAAAUUGUUUUUCUCUCCUUCUUUUGCACUCUCAUUCGUUGCUUCAGAACUCUUUUGCAUGUGCUCAGCUAGAAUUUGUUGUGGUGUCAUCGGUUUAAGAAUCAACUCCAUGCCCUUCCACUUGAUGGUGUAUUGAUUGGUUCUACCACAAUGUAGAGAUGAUCGAUCAUAUUGCCAUGGUCUUCCCAACAGCAUGUGACACACUGUCAUAGGCACCACAUCACACUCCAUGGUGUCAAUAUAUUCACCAAUCUUGAAAGGAACUUUUUGUGUAAUCUUAACAGAACCUGAAUUAUUAAGUCACUGCACAUGGUAUGGAUGAGGAUGUUUCAGCAGCUUCAAACCAAGCUUUUCAACCAUUUCGUUGCAAGCAAGAUUGUGGCAACUUCCUCCAUCAAUGAUCACCUUCACAACCUUAUCUUGCACUUUAGCUCUAGUAUGAAAAAGAUUGUGCCGCUGUCCAUUUUCAGCAUCACUCACUUGCACACUCAAAAUUUGAGUUACAACAAGAGCAGCACCAGAUUCAAAUUCAUAGAUGUCCUUCUCAAGAGUAUUCUCCUCUUCACUUUUUUCUUCUACCUCACUUGUAGAUUCAUACUCUCCUUGAUCAUUCACAAUGAUAGUUCUAUUGUUUGGACACUCUCUUGCAACAUGACCACGACCACCACACUUGAAGCGCUGUAUUCCACUACUCUUGGUGGAAGAACUCACUGAGUUUGCUGAUUUGCUUUUCUCAUUUGGAGCAGCCAUCUCAUUGCCACUAGAAGCUCCAAAAUUGCUAGAGCAUGCCCUACCACUUGAGUUGGAGAUUGUAACUUUACAUACACUACCUCUUGGUGUGAAUUUACAUCCACUUGUUGCACUCUUUGUGCUGAAAGAUACUCCUCUAUUAGACUUCAUAUAUUGCUGCAAUUGACGUUCAGCUUUGCUAGCUUGAUGCACCAAUUCAACAAGAUUGUGGUAUUGCUUAAACUCAACAAUGCGCUGAAUAUUACGAUGCAGCCCUGACAUAAAUCUUGCAAUUGUUUGCUCUUCAUCUUCAUAUACAUUGGCUCUAAUCAUCGCCUUCUCCAUCCCUUUAUAAUAAUCAUCAAUACUGAGGCUUCCUUGCUUCAGAUUCUGCAGCUUGUCAAAUAAAUCACGAUGAUAAUGUUUGGGGAUAAAUCUUGCCCUCAAUUCUCUUUUCAUUUCAGCCCAUGAACGAACAUCAGCUUGGCCAGCUUCUUCUCUUUCUUUCAGCAUUUGCUCCCACCAGAUUAGAGCAUAUCCAUCGAACUCAAGAGCAUCCAUGGCAACCUUCCUUUCCUCCAAAUAAUUAUGCACAUGAAAAAUUUUAUCCACCUUCAACUCUCAUGUAAGAUAUGUUUCAGGAUCAGAUCCUCCUUCAAACUUGGGCAUGGUGAAUUUUAACUUGCCAAACAUCUCCUCAUUGGGUCGACUGCGCCCAUGAUUAUCUCGGUGACGACGAUCAUCAUGAUAGGGCUGUUGAACCUCUUCUUCUUCAUCAUCUUCUUCAGUUUCAGUUUCCUCUAGCCUAUGAUCUCUUCCACAAUCAGCACCUCUGCCAUCAUUUCCACGACUUUGAAGUGGAGGUCUUCUUGCAUUUGCAGCAACAUUGUUUCUCUGUCCUCUUUGUUGUUCUAUUGCAAUUCUAGCAGCAACUUCUUUUUCUAUUUCCUCAACAUCAUCUCUAUGUUGACUUGCAUUGGCAUCAUUACGAGGGUGAUCUUGAAUGCGAUUCAUAAGUGCUUGAACAUUGGCUUUUAGCUCCUCCAUACUUUGCUUCAUCUCAUUGAAUUGUGUCAUGGUGACACAAUCUUCAAACUCAGCCAUCUUCCUAUCAAGUUAGUGAUGGUGUGUAGCAAAUAUGUAUAUUUGUGGAAUAGAAAAUUAUAUGUGGAAUCUCUCAAUCUCACCUCUCUUACCAACCGAAGCUUGUGCGUGUUCCCUACAGUAGAUUACAGAGGACCAAUGCGAGGUGGUAACCGAGAAUGAUGGUUGGGAGAAUCCAAGAUCAGUGUUUUCCAAUGAAGGUGGAUUAUUUGUGGAGCUGGUGGGGAUAUAAUUCUCAAGGAAUACAACUGAAUUCAGGAUAUUUUGAAAGUUAAACCGCAGUCCCAAAUAGAAGUACAAUGCCUAGUGCUAACCACAAGAUAUGAGCGAUGUAAAUGGAUCAAACACACACGCAAAGAUACUUUCAGAUUUGAUGCAAACAAGGAGUAUGUGUCGGUGUUUUCCCCACGGUGGGUCACACCAACGAGUGAAUUUGUAUGCGUGCUCCCUUUUCCAGAUGGUGACGCAAAAAGACACAAAGAUUUAUCCUGGUUCGGGCAAGAGAAGACCCUACGUCCAGCGGGGGAGGAGAGUUUGUAUUAUUUUGCACCUAAGUGCUUGUACAGGGGUGAAUACAAGCGCGGUAUGGAAUGAGGUGGAGUAUGAAAGUUCUACUGCGUAUGGGUGUAGUGUUGUGUGAUGUCUUCUCCCUUGUGUUCGCUCCCGGGCCUCCCCUUUUAUAGUUCCAAGGAGAAGCCUAGGGUACAAGUAUAGGCGUCAGAGUAGGGGUCGAUAGAGGUAUGGCGCGUGGGCCUACUCGAGGCCUCCGUACUGGCGUGGUCUCGAGCCGUCCUGUCCUGGUAGCUUGAUGGUGAUUAUGCGUGCCCCUGUAUCCCGCUCCGUGCGCCGUCGUGGACUGGUUUAUCAGUCGCACGCCUGUACGUCAUGGCGGCAGACACAUCGGAGUGGCUACAGUGUUGUCACUCGACGCCCAACCCUUCCCUAGGAAGGAAACUUGUCUGGUCGAGGGUCGGACGCCGUGUAGCGCCUUGCUAUCCAGAGCGUUGACCUUGGAUGUCUUGAGGGGGUAUUGAUUAGACGUUCCAACCCUACUUCCUGCGUCCUGACAUACUCUGGAUUGUUUGGCGGGGAAGGCUGCAGAAAGGAUGACGGGACGAGUGCCUGUUCCCUAUCACGUUUCCCGUGACCGGCAUGUUAGGUGGGAAAGCGACAGGUGCAUUAAAUGAUGUGAACCCACUAGGGUUUUCGCCUGAUCUUUCGAUGAGAGGCGCUGGAUAACUCGAUUAGUGAAUGGAGAUGACGUUCACGGCCCGACUACAGCCCUCAAGACUGCGCCUUAGCAACCGAUACACCGCCUCCAAUGGCUGUCACGGUCUUGUGGAGCGCAACACCCGACCACUAGGGCACGUCCCUAAUGGACUCAACUUGAUACAUGGGCCAUUGGUCCAAAAUAGGGUGACGCAGCACCAAAACAGAAAAAGGUGUCGGCACGAAAACAAGGACUGCGCCCGACUCAUAAGCUGCAUAGAUAUGUGGUUGGACCCAUUGGAAAGUAGACUUCAUGAGCUUUCCAACAAGUAUAGGAACGUCCCAGUUGGAGUCCAUAUGACGCCGUGGUGAUCCAUACAAGUUAGAGUUAUUUUUCCAGUCCGAAUCCAACUCCCAAAACGUGUUGGGUUUGGACUCUUUGUUUCCUUGCUUUAGAAGCGACGUGGUAACUUGAUAGAGGAUGUUGUGGAGGCUUGGACCUGAUCUCCAAUCACCUUUGUUAAGUUAUCACUCUUCCCAUAUGCAAUCAGCCCUUGAAGUUGGUGUUGCCUCAAAUUCUGAAUGCAGUUGAACCUUCCCUUGCUGAUCUUGUCCAUUAUUCCUGAGCAACACGAAAUGCACGUGUCUCCAUUGUCUAAAUAUGAUUGACAAGAGUUUAAAACUGAACUUACUUGAAGGUUGAGUUGACGGGCACGAGCACGAGUAAGAGGACCAGCUAUAGGUUGUGUCGGAGAGGAUGUAGGACCAGCUAUAGGUUGUGCCGGAGAGGAUGUAGGAUAUGUAUCGCUGGUGGAUGUAGGAUAUGUAUCGCUUGUGUUGAUGUCCUCAUCAUCCUCCCUUUCUUGCAUUUGAGUCGUCCUCGACUCAAGCUCAUCUUCCUCACCCAAAUAAGGCUUCAAAUCUGCAAUGUUAAAUGUGGGACUAACCCCAAAAUCUGCAGGAAGAUCAAGCUUAUAUGCAUUCUCAUUAAUUCGUUGCAGCACUUUAAAAGGACCAUCAGCUCUAGGCAUCAAUUUGGAUUUUCUCAGUUCUGGAAAUCUAUCUUUUCGCAAAUGCACCCAAACCAAAUCCCCAGGUUCCAGAAUCAAUUGCUUUCUACCUUUAUCUCCCAAUUUCAUACGAAUCUGGUGGUACCCACUACCUAAAUCAACUUUUGAAAACACAACAGCACCACUCAGUUCAUCUAGCAUAUCAUCUAAUCGUGGAAUAGGGUGUCGAUAUCGAAUGGUGAUAUUAUUAAUAGCUCUACAAUCAACACACAUACGCCAUGUUCCAUCUUUCUUAGGCACUAAAAUUACUGGAACAGCACAAGGACUAAGAGAUUCUUGGACAUAACCUUUGUCUAGUAGUUCUUGCACUUGUCGCUGAAUUUCCUUUGUUUCCUCCUGGUUUGUCCUGUAUGGUGCACGAUUUGGCAAAACUGAUCCAGGAAUAAGAUCAAUUUGGUGCUCAAUCCCGCGUAGUGGAGGCAGCCCCGCUGGUACCUCACUUGGAAACACAUCAGAAUACUCCAGCAAAACGUUAGCAACAGCAGGGGGCAAAGAACAUUGCAUAUCCUCAAUUGAAAUCAAAGCAUCCUUGCAUAUCAAAGCAUAAGCAACAGAAGUGGAUGCAUUGAAGUCAUUAAUAUCUGAUUUGGUAGCUAUCAUACAACGUCCUUUCAGUUUUAUCUCAUCUUUGUUACCAAUUACAGAUUUAUCAUUUUUAUUGCUCUUGCUCUUUGCUUUAGUAGCCCUAGCAACAUCAGUUUGCAUAAUAGUUUCAGGGGACAUAGGAUGCAACACAAUUUUGCAAUCAUGGUAUAGAAAAGAAUACUGAUUUGAUCUACCAUGAUGCAUAGAAUCUCUAUCAAAUUGCCAAGGUCUACCUAGCAGAAUGUUACAAGCUUGCAUAGGCACAACAUCACAUUCAACAAUAUCUUUGUAGGAUCCGAUGGAAAAAUUAAUUCUCACAAGUCUAGUUACCUUUGCCUUACCACUGUUGUUCAGCCAUUGGAUGUAGUAGGGAUGCGGGUGUGGUUUGGUGUUGAGGGCAAGCUUCUGCACCAUAUCGCUGCUUGCCAAGUUGUUGCAGCUACCUCCAUCAAUGAUCAUGCGACAAGAACGCUCUUUGAUGACACACUUUGUUUGGAAUAAAAUGUGUCGCUGAUUUUGCUCCGCCAUCUCCAUUUGUGCACUAAGCACUCACUGCACGAUCAAGCUCUCAUAGUGGUCCGCUUCACCAGCAUUAAUAUGUUCUUCUAUUUGAUCUUCGUUACCUGCAUGGUCAGUCGCAAGCAGUGCAAGUGUAUCCUCAUCAAAAUUACUAGCAGAUGAGUACUCACCAUCAUCCCUGACAAUCAUAACUCGCUUAUUUGGGCAGUCACGCAUCAUGUGCCCAUAUCCCUUGCAUCGAUGACACUGAACAUCUCUUGUUCUUCCCGUGGAAUUAACCGAGGUGGCACUAGCGAUUGGUCUCUGGGCUGAUUUAGUUGCUGUAUUUGUGGAAGAAUCAUGUGGUUUGUCGCUAUAGGAAGGUGGUGGAGCUAUUGAUCGGCUUGAUGGAAGAGGUACACCACCCGACAAUGUAGCAGAUGUGCGUUGUUGCCAGGAUUUCCCUGCAGAAUUGUUAGAUUUGGUAGUAGAACGUUGUCCCUGCACUUCCCUUUCAGCUUUACAAGCAAGAUGAAACAAACGGGUUACGUUAGUAUAAUCUUUAUAAGCAAGAAUGUCCUGGAUUUCACGAUUUAACCCGCCCAAAAAUCUAGCCAUAGCAGGUUCUUCUUCCUCCUCUAAAUUACAUCGCAGCAUACCCAUUUGUAAUUCCUGAUAAUAUUCUUCUACACUUUUAGCACCUUGUCUCAAUUGCUACAACUUAUUAAUCAUGUCACGAGCAUAGUAAGAAGGAACAAAUCUAGCCCUCAUGACUUGUUUCAACGCAUUCCAAGUUCUAGGUAUGUUAUUAGGAUUUUUCUUGCCAUGUUCUAUCCACCAAACGGAAGCAAAAUCGGUGAACUCACUAGUAGCAGCCCUAACACGUGUAUCCUCAGGGAAUUCAUGACAUGUAAACUUUUGGUCAACAGCAAUCUCCCAAGUAAUGUAUGCAUCAGGGUCAUAUUUACCAUCAAAAGGAGGUAUUUUAAAUUUAAUCUUACUGAAAGCAUCAUUAUUAUUGUGUACCUCGCGUCGGUGGUGGCCACCCAUACCUCUACGGGUGUGACGUAGGUGACGUCGAUGAUGAGUGUCUUGAUCAUCUCGUUCCGUAUCAGCAGUGUAAUCAUCAUCAUAAUUGCCAUCCACUCGGUCUUCCUCCUUGUUUUCUUCCUUAUGCUUCUUUUUUUCCAUUGUGUGGAAAGCAUCAAAUCGCCUUAGGAGAGCAGCAAGGCUUUUGUCCACACUAGCAACGGAUUCCUCCAAACUUGUGAGCUUGUUGUUUGUGGCAAUCUGCGUAGCCUCCAACUGUCCCAGCUUUUCAUUUGUCACCUGCAAGUCGUUAUCAAGUCCCUCUGUGUGCAGCUUCACUUUCCUUUCAAAAUGUUGUAUGAUGCCCUUAGUGCGAGGUGUAAGUGGUGUUUCAUUACCAUCAUCUGCCCCUGGCAUGGUUCAAAGACAAAGACAACAAAAAGGCAAGUGAAGAAAUAAAAGCCCUACAACUACUAGGAUGUAGCUACAGCAAGUCGCUCACACUCAACCUGUAACACAAGUUCUUACCAAUUCUUGCGUUGCUUGACAGGAGGGGUCGUCUGCCAACAAGUGUACAGCAAUGGACGAAGUGUAUCGGUGCUGCAGCACAAGACCUGUCAAGCUGUAGAGUAUGUGGAGCUAUAGGUGGGCUGAAACAAGGAACGAACUAGCACCACGUUAGUUAUAAAAGCGAGCUGAAUAAACGCUCAACGGUGGUACUGUGCUGGUCCUAGCCUAGACCGUGCUAGAGACGCGAGCCUGGACACAAAGGGAAAACACAGCACACCACUAGAAACAAAAUGAGCAGCCCUACUGGAAACAAAAGGAACAACAAUCCCCUUCUUUUGAUUUUUUUUCUUUUUUCUUUCUUUCUUUCUUUUUUUUUCUUUAUUUUUUUUUCUUUCUCUUUUCUUUUUUUUUGGGGAACCUCAAAACCUGAUUAUAUAAACGAAAUAGUACAAAAUAUCACUUCACCACUCUCACCCUCUCACUAGAGUAAGGCUGAACUUCAAAAUUCAAUAUAUCUAGCACAAGUAUGAAGUGCUAUCUUUCCUUUUGGAUCACGUUGAUGGAAACACAGAAUAGACCAACAAGUGGCUGCACCUAUUAUCAAGAUCUACUCAAAUUCCAACCCACAAUAGAUUGGACGCAGUUGUGACUAGAUGGUGACAAGAACUCAAAACUCUAAAGGACUAAACUAAAACCAACACUGGACACGACCGAAGCAAACACUCAUUCAACCAGCCCUAACUAAGUAGUACUAGCCACGGCACAAAGGAUUUAUAGGAUUAUGGAAAACAAAUCUGCUAUAUUUUUUUGUCUUUUUUUUGGACUAUAGGAAAAACAAACACGAAGAAUUGGAAAUCUCUCACCGAUAAACCUUGCUCUGAUUACCAACUGAUGUGAACCCACUAGGGUUUUCGCCUGAUCUUUCGAUGAGAGGUGCUGGAUAACUCGAUUAGUGAAUGGAGAUGACGUUCACGGCCCGACUACAGCCCUCAAGACUGCGCCUUAGCAACCGAUACACCGCCUCCAAUGGCUGUCACGAUCUUGUGGAGCGCAACACCCGGCCACUAGGGCACUCGUCCUGCAAGCAAUCGAAGAACCAGCAAGAACAAGUAGAACAAGUACUAAAUUACCAGAUGUAAAUGAAGGUUUCAAACUCAAUCUCUAAUGAAGUGGGGUUUCGAAAACAAGAAGACGGGCGGCUGGAUCAGCACGCGCGUUUACAAGCAAGUAGCGAAGGCUAAACUUUAUCUAAUCAAAACCCAGUU
This 9248-nucleotide long non-coding RNA is filed under the name Sorghum bicolor (sorghum). Its description in RNAcentral is "long non-coding RNA (SBIC_LNC016169)". Lineage: Eukaryota; Viridiplantae; Streptophyta; Magnoliopsida; Poales; Poaceae. The record is from RNAcentral.